AAUGGGCGCAAGCCUGAUCCAGCAAUGCCGCGUGCAGGAUGAAGGCCUUCGGGUUGUAAACUGCUUUUGUACGGAACGAAACGGCCCUUUCUAAUACAGGGGGUUAAUGACGGUACCGUAAGAAUAAGCACCGGCUAACUACGUGCCAGCAGCCGCGGUAAUACGUAGGGUGCGAGCGUUAAUCGGAAUUACUGGGCGUAAAGCGUGCGCAGGCGGUUAUGUAAGACAGAUGUGAAAUCCCCGGGCUCAACCUGGGACCUGCAUUUGUGACUGCAUAGCUAGAGUACGGUAGAGGGGGAUGGAAUUCCGCGUGUAGCAGUGAAAUGCGUAGAUAUGCGGAGGAACACCGAUGGCGAAGGCAAUCCCCUGGACCUGUACUGACGCUCAUGCACGAAAGCGUGGGGAGCAAA
This 410-nucleotide ribosomal RNA is filed under the name uncultured bacterium. Its description in RNAcentral is "bacterial SSU rRNA". It matches the Rfam family "Bacterial small subunit ribosomal RNA", at positions 370 to 772 of the family's 1533-position model. The record is from RNAcentral.